AAUCCUAUUAUUUACCCGGUGAUUGUUUGUUUGGUUUUAGGUUGGGGUGACCGCGGAGUAUAAGAUAUCCUCCAUGAAAAAAAGCUAACUGCCCUUAUUAGAGAAAGACACUUCCAAAAAAUAAUAAAUUAAUUUUAAAUGAUCCGACAUUCGAUCAACGAACCAAGUUACCCUGGGGAUAACAGCGCAAUCCGUCCCGAGAGCCCCUAUCGACAGGCGGGUUUACGACCUCGAUGUUGGAUCAGGGUAUCCCAGUGGUGCAGCAGCUACUAAAGGUUCGUUUGUUCAACGAUUAA
RNAcentral lists this ribosomal RNA (296 nucleotides) under Boophis madagascariensis (Madagascar bright-eyed frog). RNAcentral's name for it is "partial 16S ribosomal RNA". It matches the Rfam family "Bacterial large subunit ribosomal RNA", at positions 2233 to 2591 of the family's 2925-position model. Lineage: Eukaryota; Metazoa; Chordata; Amphibia; Anura; Mantellidae. The record is from RNAcentral.